This 114-nucleotide ribosomal RNA is filed under the name Castor canadensis (American beaver). Lineage: Eukaryota; Metazoa; Chordata; Mammalia; Rodentia; Castoridae. The record is from RNAcentral.
GUCUACGGCCACACCACCCUGAACGCGCCCGAUCUCGUCUGAUCUCGGAAGCUAAGCAGGGUCGGGCCUGGUUAGUGCUUGGAUGGGAGAAAAGCUACCCAGGUAUGCUAAAAG